CCCUUAGACGUUCUGGGCCGCACGCGCGCUACACUGACCAGUGCAACAAGCAUCCGUCCUUGGCCGACAGGCCCGGGCAAUCUUUGAACGUUGGUCGUGAUGGGGAUAGACUUUUGCAAUUUUUGGUCUUCAACGAGGAAUUCCUAGUAAACGCAAGUCAUCAACUUGCAUUGAUUACGUCCCUGCCCUUUGUACACACCGCCCGUCGCACCUACCGAUUGAAUGGUCCGGUGAAGCCUCCGGAUUGGCGCGCACCUCGGUGCCGCCGAGAAGUUGGCUAAACCUUACCAUUUAGAGGAAGGUGAAGUCGUAACA
RNAcentral lists this ribosomal RNA (315 nucleotides) under uncultured eukaryote. RNAcentral describes it as "partial 18S ribosomal RNA". It matches the Rfam family "Eukaryotic small subunit ribosomal RNA", at positions 1470 to 1796 of the family's 1831-position model. The record is from RNAcentral.